RNAcentral lists this ribosomal RNA (713 nucleotides) under uncultured bacterium. RNAcentral's name for it is "bacterial SSU rRNA". It matches the Rfam family "Bacterial small subunit ribosomal RNA", at positions 94 to 823 of the family's 1533-position model. The record is from RNAcentral.
AGUGGCGGACGGGUGAGUAACGCGUGAGUAACCUGCCUUUCAGAGGGGAAUAACGUUCUGAAAAGAACGCUAAUACCGCAUAAUGUACAGCUUUCGCAUGGAAGCAGUACCAAAGGAGCAAUCCGCUGAGAGAUGGACUCGCGUCCGAUUAGCUAGUUGGUGGGGUAAAGGCCUACCAAGGCGAUGAUCGGUAGCCGGACUGAGAGGUUGAACGGCCACAUUGGGACUGAGACACGGCCCAGACUCCUACGGGAGGCAGCAGUGGGGGAUAUUGCACAAUGGGGGAAACCCUGAUGCGGCAACGCCGCGUGUGGGAAGAAGGUUUUCGGAUUGUAAACCACUGUUCUUGGUGAAGAUAAUGACGGUAACCAAGGAGAAAGCUCCGGCUAACUACGUGCCAGCAGCCGCGGUAAUACGUAGGGAGCAAGCGUUGUCCGGAUUUACUGGGUGUAAAGGGCGCGUAGGCGGCUUUGCAAGUCAGACGUGAAAACCACAGGCUCAACCUGUGGACUGCGUUUGAAACUGUAGGGCUUGAGUGAAGUAGAGGUAGGCGGAAUUCCCGGUAUAGCGGUGGAAUGCGUAGAUAUAUGGAAGAACACCAGUGGCGAAGGCGGCUCUCUGGUCUGCAACUGACGCUGAGGCUCGAAAGCAUGGGUAGCGAACAGGAUUAGAUACCCUGGUAGUCCAUGCCGUAAACGAUGAGUGCUAAGUGU